Molecule: long non-coding RNA, 596 nt
Organism: Venturia canescens
Lineage: Eukaryota; Metazoa; Arthropoda; Insecta; Hymenoptera; Ichneumonidae
Exons: 3
Source: RefSeq, a predicted model, not a curated record
CAUGAUCAGAAACUAAAAAAGAGACAAAAUAAAAUUUGUAAAAUAUGAUCAAACUGAAGAAAAUAUGACAGAUCUUCACAAAAUUGUCAAAGCCAAAUAUCAUUGGUAAAAUUUUGGUCGAAUGCGGUACCAACUUUUUUCGGAGGAACUGGAGCCCUGGUGGUCUUCGAAAUACAUUAGCAAUGAUGUUCCGGAGAAAAAAAAUCGAUCGUUUUCGGAUUUUAUGCUUUAGGAUGGAUUUUUUCUCAAAGGAAUUGGAAUCACUAUCGAGAAUACGAGAAAAAUUAUUCGUAUGGCAUAAAGGCAUAAGGCAUCAUUACAGAAAAGCGAGGAAAAAAAACGAAUUGGAUUUCUUGUGGUUGCAGAAGAAUAUUUGACACCGCUGGACUGCUGGAUCAAUAAAAAACGCGGGUGACUUUUUCAUACGAGCCUAACCACAUAAACAAAGAUGAAUUCAAGAAACAAACGAGCGUCUUUCAAAUUUUCUCCUCCAGCUGUGAGUGAAGCAGUAGAGGCAGAACCAAAGAAUACACGUUGGCUUGUACGAAAUGUUUCAAAAUUUCGCAUACGACAUUUCCAGAGCUCGCAAUACUGCC